AUAACUAUAGUUGUGAUAUUUCAUUCAAAAGUUGACAGAAAAAGAAAAAAAUAUAUGUAGAAAAAGAAGAACUUUUUAAAAAAAAAAUAAGUGGAAAAAGCAAAGAAGGAUGUCAUUACAUUUUCCUUCUGAAAAAAAAAAGAGAAUAAAAAGAUAAAAGAGAAGAAAAAUCGUAGAAAAGUUGUUGUUUGAAAGUGGAUGAAUGUAGUUCAACUCCCGCAAGUUCUUUCAUGUCUCUUUUUUCCCUUUGAAUCUUAGCCUAGUACCCCUUAGGAUUU
RNAcentral lists this long non-coding RNA (278 nucleotides) under Lathyrus oleraceus (garden pea). RNAcentral describes it as "Pisum sativum (pea) long non-coding RNA (PSAT_LNC023021)". The record is from RNAcentral. Lineage: Eukaryota; Viridiplantae; Streptophyta; Magnoliopsida; Fabales; Fabaceae.